RNAcentral lists this transfer RNA (85 nucleotides) under Kribbella sandramycini. Its description in RNAcentral is "tRNA-Ser". Lineage: Bacteria; Bacillati; Actinomycetota; Actinomycetes; Propionibacteriales; Kribbellaceae. The record is from RNAcentral.
AGCCACAUUUGGCCUUGAGGUGCCUCCUGGUCUUGAAAACCGGUAUGGCGGGUGACCGUCAUCGUGGGUUCGAAUCCCACGCCCU